GAGCCUAUUAUCCUUUUUUUAUUUAAAAUUAAUUAUAAACCGAGAAAUGAAAAACAAUGUUAUCACCCCAUUUAAAGGGUUGAAAGAGUCUUGUUUAGAGUUGUGUGGGGUUGAAUAUUUAUAUUUGUAAUAUUUUAGAAGUUGGUAGAAAAAGAAAAGAAAAAUAGAAAAAUAAAAUAGAAAAGAAAAAAAAAAUGAAUGAAAAAAAAAUAGAAGGAU
This 219-nucleotide long non-coding RNA is filed under the name Lathyrus oleraceus (garden pea). RNAcentral describes it as "Pisum sativum (pea) long non-coding RNA (PSAT_LNC036300)". The record is from RNAcentral. Lineage: Eukaryota; Viridiplantae; Streptophyta; Magnoliopsida; Fabales; Fabaceae.